RNAcentral lists this long non-coding RNA (3490 nucleotides) under Ictidomys tridecemlineatus (thirteen-lined ground squirrel). Its description in RNAcentral is "lncRNA (ENSSTOG00000032652.1)". The record is from RNAcentral. Lineage: Eukaryota; Metazoa; Chordata; Mammalia; Rodentia; Sciuridae.
AAAGGCACCCCAAGAAAGAAGUGGUUAAGCAGAUCUCUGAAGAUUGCCCAAGCAGACCAGGAAGGGGUAGUUCUCAAGCCAAAGAAGUGAAAGAGCAGCAGUGUAACUGGAGGAGAGGGAGCAAGGUAAAAGGCAAGAACAGAUGAUUGCACCAGCAAAAAAUCCUUCUCCACUUCUGCUAGAGUAAGCAGAAAUUCUUCUACAAAAGGAACAAGAGGAAUGCCAAGCCUGGAGUGAGGGCUUUGGGGAUGUUUGUGCAGUUUGUCUUGGGAAAAGCGUGCACUCCAGAGAGAUGGGAUUGCAACAGUCCUGCUUUCCUUACAGGCCUAUUGAGCACUCAAGAAUAUUUCUGCUUGAGAGGUGCUGCAGAGCUCAGGCUGAACUGAGAGGAAGACAAGUGAAGCGCUCCAUGGCCGUUUGUGUUGUCUGGGGAAAGCUCUCCAGAGGCAGAAAAACAGCAAGUACGGAAAAAGGUGGAAACAUUCACGAUAUAUCGUCUGCUCUCUGGACACCAUCCAGUUCACCAAGGAAGCAUUAGAGAAGAUGUCAACAGAUCUUGUGGGCUGUAGUCUGCACACACCUAAAUAUUGUUUUUAACUUACUUUAGUAAGUCUAAGCACUCUAUGAAGCUAUUCAUGUUUGAUUUCAAACUUCUCAAGUUUGGGAAAAAGAAUGUUCUUAGAAACAAUCUCUUAAGAUACAUCUAAACAGCAAAAACUUCUGCACUUAACUUUUUGCACAAUGCAUACCUUAUUGUAGCUGCAUUCUUGAGUUCUUGUGUCUUGCUGCUAGAAAGGCUAAGUGCAAAAGGUAUACCUUAAAGAAGCAGAGAAAAAUAGAGUCUCAUAUAAUAUGUGAGACAGCUGUUUAGAAAUAUUUUCCACUAAAUUUUACCAGAUGAAUAUGCUUUCUAGUGCUGGGAGAAGUGCCUUCAGGGACAUGCUGGGUAUUGGUAUGUAUCUCUUAUUCAAAGGGAUUUGCCAAGAGAGGAAGGAAUUUAUCAUUUGAUGGAGUAUAAAAUAUUCAGGACUACUAAUUUAUAGUCAUAUCACAAUACUAAAUAAAUUUUAAAAGUAAGGGAUGUUUUUAGUAUUCCAAAUAUUUAGCAAUCGUCUUUAGGUUAAUCAAAUCAUUUUUGUAAUGACACUGGGAGACAGACCCACACCCAUUAUUUUUAUGCUAGCGAGUCAUUUGGCAAAGUCACUUAGUUCUUUUUUUUUUUUUUUGAGAGGCUCAAUAAUGUUUGUCAUGUGCUUAUGAAAUUGCAGAAUAGAUUCAAGUCAGGAUGAUGACACUGCAAAAGGGCUGAGUUAAAAUUAUAUUUACUUGGUAUGUGCAUAAUUUCCCAUCAACUAUCAGGGAUCCAGGCUUACCAAUAUGAUUUUGCAUAUUGUAUUAACACUAUUCAUUGUAAGAAAAUAUAUUUGCAUUAUGCAUUUAGACAUCAUGCACUUGGAAGAUCCAGAAAGUUAGUUUCAGGAUAUUUUUCUUUUGAUUAGAGACCUAUUUAACCUAAAGAGAAUUGUUUUUUUUUUUCCAUGAAAGGCAAAUAAGUAUUUACUUUAGCUAUACAUAUGUACACGACUUAUUAGAGUCUAAAGGCAAAUUAAAUAUAAAAUUAUUUUGCAAACCAAUAGGAUAUCUGAGAUUUCUCCACAUUAUUUUCUCUAAUUAGUUUUCAUUACUAACUACUUCUCAAUAAUAUUGAUAUUUACAUUUAUAAACCACAGAAUUUACCUAGCCAUAAUUAGUUGUUAGUCUCUAAUUACUUGCCUUGCCCCACGUUUAUGUUAUGUUUAUGUUUCUUUCUGGCAAUAGGUUUGAGACUUAAGAGUCAGUUGAUUCUAUCAAUUUCCUCUGGUAAGAACUUUGGAUCUAGCAAUAACCAUCACUUAAAUGUUAAUAAUUAAAAAUUAUUUUUUAAGAAGCACCAGUCCUGAUAGGAAAAUAUAAGAAAUUGAAAUGCAAAAGGAAAUGAUCAUUUUUCUUAGUUAAUAUGUUUUCAGCUCAUUUUCCAAUAUCACAAGAUAAUAUUUCCAAUUCUAAUCUAUUUUUGGCUAGAUGGUAAAAUUAUUUCUGCUCAUAUAAAUUCAUUCUGUAUUUUUAUGAUGUAGAUACUAAUCAGACUGGUGCAAAUGUCAGUUCAUUUACUCACUGAGAUAAACCUCAUUUGGGAAUAAUUGCUUUGGGAGCAUUUUGAGUAGAAAAAGAUUUAAAAGUGCCCUCCUAUGUCCCAGCAAAACUUUCAUUGUGCCACAUUCCACUAAUGUAAUAUGAAAACAUAUAAAUAAAUCAUGACCAGUGGAAAUUCUUUUUUCCCCCCAUGAUGACCUAACUUAUGUUAAAUAAAGCUUGGGGAAUAUUCAUUUUUAGUUUGUAAUAAUAAGAUUUCAUAUUAGGAAGAUUGCAUACAAAUGAGAGGCACUUUCUAGGUAGGAGGUUAAAAUGGAGUUUUAUAGCAAUGACUUUAAUAUACAUAAAUAGGUCCAGAAAUAUGUAAUUUUGAAAUCAUUUGACUGGAAGUUGUGAAGGAGCAACAGGAGAAAAAAUUAAAACCAAAACAACAAAAAAACUAGGGCAAAUGGUGUCCUCCAGCUUUCACUUGCAAAUCCCACUGAAACCAAUGGAAGUUUAUGAAAAUAUCUGAAAGACACAUUUGGCCUAGUUCAAAAGUUCCAUUAAAUUAGUAUUUUAAUACAGUGUCCUAGUUUGGUGCUGUUUUUAUGGUCCUUUUAACAUUAUUUCACUCAGCAUUAGAAAAGAGGCUAGGAUAACACAGGGUAUUUGUCCCCUCAAUUUCAAAGAUACCAUGAAUCCUAACCCCCCAUCUCCCACCCCAUGCUGAGUAAAGAUCUUGUGUAAAGAAAUUCGUGGAUCCAAGGUAAGCUUUGUUUUUCAUGCUCAUCAAGUGGGAAGUAUAAACAGAUGUUAAAUGCAGAAUUCUGAUAUUUAGACUGGGAGGAUUUAGUCCCUGAAAUUGGAUUAGGUGGAAAAUAUUUGAUGCUCUAAGAAUUGUUUAGGAUACAAAUACUAUUGUAGAUGUUUCUUUAUGGUUCAAGGAGAAACUAAGUAGUCUUUUUCCUCCCAUGAUUUGUAUUUACAAAGUAUCAAGGAACAGUUUCUGUGACCUUACUUACUUUGUUCAAUCUUUAGCUCAUCCCUGAAAAAUGAGCACGAUAAUAGAAUUUUGCGAUUAUUUGAGUUAAACUGUCAUAUGGAGUGAGAGCACUGUUUUUUUUUUCUUUCUUCAGUUUAACUCUUACUAUUAUUUUAUAUUAAGAAGCACCACACAGCCCACCACUUAUUAGCCAAGCUCCCCCAUCCUCCCAUUCUUCCCCAUUGAAAUCAUGUUAUAGCUCCUGGGCCCUCUGGAGACACUUCUAGAGGGUGUUUGGAAACAGGGUCCCGAAUUCGGGGAAGGUCUCUGAACGUUAUUAAAAAUGUAUCAAAUUACUAAACGUUUCUUGCCUAUUACUGCUCUUGAUGUUUA